CAAAAGAAACUGGCAACAUAGACUUUUGCAAAUUGACUGAAGACAGAGUUUCUAAAGACACUACACUGUGCAUUUCAAUGGAAGAGGUUUGAACCAAGAGAGGUCUGUAUUAAGGAUAUAUAUGGCAGCUGGGAAGUCUGAAUUGCAGCUGGUGCUUCUCUGAUCACUAGAAUCCUUGCUUGGACAGAUCUUGUGGUUCUGAUCAACUGAGAAUACUAUUGAAAUGAACAGACCCUCAUCUAGUCCAGAACAGAAUCAUGAGAAAUAUAUAAAAAUGGACCAGCAGAAAAUUUAAAUGAGUGUGUGUGUGUGUUGUUUCUAUCCUUGAGCUCAAGGGCCUAUCACAAAGAUGGAUUAAGAACAUUCAAUGAUCAUGGAUACGUAACAUAAUAAAAAUGACAAUCCUACCCAAAUUAAUUUACUGAUUUAGUGCCAUACCUAUAAAACUACCAAGAGAUUUUUUUACUUAAUUAGAAAAAAAUUAUAACAAAGUUUCAUUUGGAAGACCAAAAGAUCAAGAAUAUCAAGGGAAAUAAUGAAAAAAAAAUGUGAAGGAUGGGGGGCUAGCAGUACCAGAUCUUAAACUGUACUAUUAAGCAGUGGUCAUCAAAACAAUAUGGUAUUGAAGGGAGGAUCAGUGGAAUUGACUUGGAGUAAAUUACCUAAGCAAGACAGGCUAUGUUAAACCCAAAGAUCCCAGCUUUUGGGACAAAAAUUUACCCACUAUUUGACAAAAACUGCUGGACAAAUUGGAAAACAGUAUGGGACAUCUCACACUCUACACCAAGAUAAAUUCAGAAUGGGUGAAUGACUUAAAUAUAAAGAAGGAAACUAUAAGUAAAUUAGGUGAACAUAGAACAGUUUACCUAUCAGAUCUAUGGGAAAGGAAAGAUUCUAAGACCAAGCAAGAAACAGAGACUAUUACAAAAUGUAAAAGGAAUAAUCUGAUUACAUUAAAUUAAAAAGGUUUUGUACAAAUAAAACCAAUACAACUAAAAUUAGAAUGGAAGCAACAAAUUGGGGAAAAUAUUCAUAACAAAAGCCUCUGACAAAGGUUUAAUUACUUAAAUCUAUAAGGAGGUAAAUCAAUUGAACAAAAAAAUCAAGUCAUUCCCCAAUUGAUAAAUGGGCAAGGGACAUGAACAGGUAAUUUUCAGAUAAAUCAAAACUCUCAAUAAGCAUAUGAAAAAGUGUUCUAAAUCUCUUAUAAUCAGAGAAAUACAAAUCAAAACAACUCUGAGGUACCACCUCACAUCUAACAGAUUGGCUAAUUUGACAGUAAAGGAAAAUAAUAAAUGUUGGAGGAGAUGUGGCAAAAUUGGGACAUUAAUGCACUACUGGUAGAGUUAUGAAUUAACCCAACCAUUCUGGAAGGCAAUUUGGAACUAUGUCUAAAGGGCAUUAAAAGAUUGUCUGCCCUUUGAUCCAGCCAUACCACUGCUGGGUUUUUGCCCCAAAGAGAUAAUAAGGAAAAAGACUUGUACAAAAAUAUUUAUAGCCAUGCUCUUUGUGGUGGCAAAAAAUUGGAAAAUGAGGGGAUACCCUUUGAUUGAGGAAUGACUAAACAAAUUAUGGUAUCUGUUGGUGAUGGAAUACUAUUGUGCCAAAAGGAAUGAUGAACUGGAGGAAUUCCAUUUGAAACUGGAACGACCUCCAGGAACUGAUGCUGAGUGAAAGGAGCAGAACCAGGAGAACCUUAUACACAGAGACAGAUAGAUACACUGUGGCACAAUUGAAUGUAGUAGACUUCUCUACUAGCAGCAGUACAAUGAUCCAGGACAAUUGUGAGGGACUUAUGAGAAAACGCUAUCCACAUCCAGAGGAAGAACUGUGGGAGUAGAAAUACAGAAGAAAAACAACUGCUUGAUCACUUGGUUCAAUGGGGAUAUGAUUGGGGAUGUAGACUCUAAAUGAUCACCCUAGUACAAAUAUCAAUAAGAUAGAAAUAGGUCUUGAUCAAUGACAUAUGUAAAACCCAGUGGUAUUGCUUGUUGGCAUGGGAAGUGUUGAGUAGUUUUGAAAUUCACAGAAGGGAGUGGGAAGAGGGGAAAGAAAGAACAUGAUUCAUGUAACUAUGGAAAAAUAUUCUAAAUUAAUUAAUAAACUUAAUUUAAAAAAACCAUUCAAAGAGAGUUCCCUCUCUCCCUUUCCUCAUAUUACACUACUCGGACAU
This is a long non-coding RNA of Monodelphis domestica (gray short-tailed opossum), 2173 nucleotides long. RefSeq lists it as uncharacterized. NCBI's taxonomy places the organism in Eukaryota, Metazoa, Chordata, Mammalia, Didelphimorphia, Didelphidae. The record is from RefSeq and is a predicted model, not a curated record.